AAACUGAAGAGUUUGAUCCUGGCUCAGAUUGAACGCUGGCGGUAUGCUUAACACAUGCAAGUCGAACGGCAGCACGAGGAGUUUACUCUUUGGUGGCGAGUGGCGGACGGGUGAGUAAUGCAUAGGAAUCUACCUUUUAGUCUAGGAUAACUACCCGAAAGGGUAGCUAAUACUGGAUGUGGACUACGGUUUAAAGCAGGGGAUCUUCGGACCUUGCGCUAAGAGAUGAGCCUAUGUGGGAUUAGCUAGUUGGUGAGGUAAUGGCUCACCAAGGCGACGAUCUCUAGCUGGUUUGAGAGGAUGAUCAGCCACACUGGGACUGAGACACGGCCCAGACUCCUACGGGAGGCAGCAGUGGGGAAUAUUGGACAAUGGGCGCAAGCCUGAUCCAGCAAUACCGCGUGUGUGAAGAAGGCCCUAGGGUUGUAAAGCACUUUUGUUAGGGAGAAUGGGUUUAGUAGUUAAUACCUACUGAAUCUGAUGUUACCUAAAGAAUAAGCACCGGCUAACUCCGUGCCAGCAGCCGCGGUAAUACGGA
RNAcentral lists this ribosomal RNA (538 nucleotides) under Ignatzschineria ureiclastica. Its description in RNAcentral is "Bacterial small subunit ribosomal RNA". It matches the Rfam family "Bacterial small subunit ribosomal RNA", at positions 1 to 529 of the family's 1533-position model. Lineage: Bacteria; Pseudomonadati; Pseudomonadota; Gammaproteobacteria; Cardiobacteriales; Ignatzschineriaceae. The record is from Rfam by way of RNAcentral.